CAAGGCAUUCGUGCAAGUUGUUAAAUCCGGGCUAAUACCCGAAGGCAUUUGUGCAAGUCGUUCUAUCCGGGCUAAGACCCGAAGGCAUUCGUGCAUGUGGUUAUAUCCGGUUGUAUUCCGAAGAAGCUUGGGCUGGAGGUGAGCGUUGGUUGCUGUAAUAAAUUUAAUUAGUACGCUCGAAAAGCCCAAAGGAUAAGAUUUUGCUCGUUAGCGAUCGGAUUCGGGAUCAUUAAAGUCGAAGUCAUCUACACUAUCAAAGCCUCUAUUUUUGUAUAAUUUUGGUUGAACUUUGAAAUGGCAUGUAUAGGACUACCCUAUUGUUGAAGGUCAUGUACCUUUCGGUUUUGUGUAAACUUGGAUAGCCAUGCGAAAAUGGCUUAUAUACGUUUUUGGUAUGAUACUAUAAUCGUUGUAUGUUGAUCAUUAUGGGGUAUGGAAUUGUUUUGAGAAGAUUAGCCAUUGGAAUGGUUAAUCAUGAUCA
Long non-coding RNA from Gossypium arboreum, 481 nucleotides. RefSeq lists it as uncharacterized. Lineage: Eukaryota; Viridiplantae; Streptophyta; Magnoliopsida; Malvales; Malvaceae. The transcript is spliced from 2 exons. The record is from RefSeq and is a predicted model, not a curated record.